UAAAGGUUGAACUUUCUCUCUCUUUCUUAAAAUUCAAAUUCCAGUGGAGGAGUAUAAUUAAAAUAGAAAAAACUGGCCAUGCAUUGUCAGUGUCAGAACAACACUUUUCAAACUGAAGAAAAAAUCAAACUUGGUUUCAAAACUCUCAGACUAAAUUGUUUUUCCUUCUUUUUCUUUUUAUUCACCACAUGUUUUGGUGUGGUUGAAUAUACCUCCCUUUUAACUGAAAAAGUCUCAGUUGCCUGGAUCUAUCCAGCAACAAUCCAAAAUUUUGGUGGAAAUAGAUCUUUCAUGUGGGGUCUUGUGUGGAAGGGGUUAAGGGUUUCACUCCAGUACUUAAUAGGUUUGUCUUUCUCAUAAAGAAGAGAUGAAAUAGUUAAGCCAAGACAAGGUUGCAAGCAGGUUAGAGCUGUAUGUAAAUAAUAAUUAGCCUUUGGGUCCAAGACAUUCAUCCCUUCUGGCCCAGGCCAAGUACGGGAAUCUCACUGCAAGAGAUACUCGUGUUGUUGCUUCCCACGCUGUGACCCUGAACACAGAACAGACUUCAGACCUUGGCACUUUUCAGAUGCACCGAAUAAAAAAAAAAAGCUGUGAAUCGAAGGUGCUUUGUUCCUGGUCCAUGCUUUUUUUGCUUUGAAUUCUUUCCCACGUUUUCUAGCAGAGCCAGUUUUAUAAGUAAGUUAAUCACAAACCAGCCCAGCAACAUUAUGACGAUGCCUUUCCUUUGCAGAUGUCGGGUAGGUCCGGACCAGGCAGCUUGCUGCUGUUCUUGCUGGCAUGAGAAUCAGCUGGUGAAAUAAUAGCCUGGGAUGUUGUUUAUAUUAUGAUAGAGUCUAGGAGCCAGUCACGCACUUGACGACCUGCUGCUGUUGUGCAAGGUGCUGUAUAAACACAGAGAAAAAUCAUGCCUGUUCACCAACAUCUAAAUAAUGCAUCUACUGACUCCUAGCUGCCAUGGGAGGUGCAGGCUGGGAACUGAGGGCAGACUACGAGUGCUGUGAUUCAGUUUGGUGGUCACAAAAGACUUCCCAAGAUCCUUCGUUCCACGUCCAAAAACAAUUGCAUUCACUGGAUGCAGCUACUUGUGUAUUAAGGCACUUUUCCUGAUGUGCAUUUAAUUUGGUACCUCCCAUGUGAGGUACUAAAUAAAUACGCAUUAGGCUGCCUUAAUGUGCAGUAAUGAAUGUGCGUGGUUUUUAAGUGGCAUGUAAUGUGCAGUAGCCUAUUUUUACUGCACGUCAGCAUAAUAGCAUGGUGUUUUACACGAUGCUUUGAUGUCUAGUAAAAUAGGCUACUGCGCAUUAAAGCGCACAUGUAGACAUGCUCACUAUGAGCCCCUCUCAUGCCUACCUAGCUGUUUCAGACCAUUGCCAUGGUAUCGGAGUUCUUGAACUCAGUAUCUGUUGGGCCAAGUAUAGGAAGUAAAUCGAGUAUCUGCUGUUGACCGAGUUCAAGUUAUUCCAGAUUUGCCAGGUGUGACUGAGGUCAGAAACUCAUCUCACAGUGUUUUGAUCAUGAAAUGUGAUGCAAUUUACCUCUCAUUGCCUGAUACUCAUCUAGCCCAGUUCCCUACUGACUUAGCUAUACAGCUAUCCGCAGACUAUUGCACAGCUUUUGUGAAAUACCUGUGAUGGGUCUUAUUCCAGUGGCUCAUAGGCAAGUCCUCAUACCAAAACAGUGGCAGUCAUUAACAUCCUUAGGUGCUGUGUUGUCAUAAACAAGGAGGAAAAUCUGAGGGAUGGAGAUUGAACUGUCAUUUUUUUUCCGUCUGAGGUGGCGCCCCUGGGGAUACUGGCUGUGAACGUGAGGUCUGCCCUUUAAGCCCCUCACUUUGCCUACUUUGUAUAAAUGAACUCUCCUAAAAAGUGACCUUAGGAAGAUAGAAGCUUGUCUCAAAUCAUUUUGACUCCGAGUUCCUUUCAGGCCCCCUUGGUAACGUGUAUAGGAAAUGGCAUUUGAGAAAUAAGGAGUGAUUCGCUGAUCUCAAAGCCAAACAGGCUCAUUAGUCUCUGAUACGAGCUUUUGCAGAACAUGAGUGUAAGCACCUCACCCAGUGACUCCGAGCUAUUGCCUAUAACUUUGUUUUGAUUAACCAGGUCUUUUUCAUACAGAUACCUAGAGUCACUCACCCUCCCGUGUCUUCUGUAUUCCAGUUUCUCUCUCCUUAUACUCUUUCUGAACAUCCUUUCACAGUAUCUGGUGAAGUGAGCUUCAGCUCACAAAAGCUUGUGCUAAUAAUAGAUGGAACUACUUUGGUUAGCCUUAUAAGGUGUAAAUUGACCCUGCUUUUUAUUUGACUUCAGACUAGCAGGGCCAACAAUGGUUCUAUAUAGAUACCUAGUCCACAGUAGAAGAGGGCAAGCAAUAGGGAGCCCACCUUUGUGAAGGCAGGCUGCCAAAGCUGAGACCAAGUGGAACUGGCAUAACUUCAUGCCUCAUGGAGCUGGCUACAUUUUGAAUGCCAGGCUUUGGCAUUCAGAGCAGGGCUCUUGCUAUUAGAUUGUCAAGUCACACUUGGCAUAGCACUAAGGGGUGAUGCAGGGAAGGGUUUGUCUUGCUUUGCUGUCUCUAGGCAGGGAGAAUCUGCUGCUGACUCUGGGCACCUCCUGGACUGUGUCUUUGAAGAAUCUUCUGUUAUUUAAAGGCUGCCAUAUAGUCAGGGUUUUUGUCCAAGGGUAGUGGCACUGGUGUUGUCUGCAGGGCUCUACAAGCUACCAGUCAUGGUGUGACUUGCCCAGGGAGAAAUUACAGCUGUAGAAGAAGCUUUUUGCACUUCACCCAGGGGCUUAUGCUGGAAUGGCCUAAUGUAAGACAUCACAGGCUUCUCAGAGCUGGGGUAAUCCUUGAUUUCACUCUUUGAAUCUAAUCUGCAGCUAUGCCUCCCUGUCUGUCUUGCACUGAGCUUUGCAGCAUGCGCCAAGCUAUGCGGCUUGCUCCCUUGGACUGAGAGCAGAGAAACAGGAGGAACGUGUGGGCUAGAAAUCUCCAUUGCUUAAACCCAGUCAGUGAAAGGCUGAACAGGGGAGUCCUGGCCAGCCAGGAGGGGAGGCUCCUGUGCAGCUGGGUUUUUCAGCCAGUGCUACAAUGAAAAGAGAUGAGAGAAAGUAGCUACAUUUCUCACAACAGCCUCUUUUCUCAGGUGAUAAAAUCUUCCCUUGGUCCUGGGGGAAUUGUGCUCAGUUUGGUAAGUGAAGAGACAGUCUUUUCUAACAAGGUAGAGUGUCCUCUACCCCGUGGGAGUGACUUUUUGUCUAAAACAAAUCGGUAAGGAGCUGUCCCUCUGCCAGCUACAGGAGAGGCCCCUAACAUUAGAAAUGGCAAACUGUAUCAUUGUCAUUCCUACCCUGUCAUCUCACAAGGCAGAGAUGCAUGGUUGUUGUUGGUCAGUGGCCCUUUCUCAAAAAGAAUGAGAUUGGACCUGCACUCCUUGGGCCUUGAUUCAGCAAAGAAUGCAAGUACCUUCUUACCCUCAAGCAUGGGCAAAUUUGUUUCACUUUGCUGGGGGUCCUCAUAGCCACUUGGCUAAGAAUUGUGUGUCCAGAGCACCAAGGCAGCUAUGACUGAAUGAAACGUCUACCCAGCUCUGAAUAUCCUGCCAUUCAUGAUUCAGGGUGAGUUGUCAUUAAGCAUCCUAUGCCCUUGCUACAUCCCCCUUGACUUAAGGCCCCAAUUAAGUUCACCAUCAUUAACAUACAACCUGAGUUCUGGGCCUCAUGGCUGUAACCAUUUCCCUCUCAUCAUCACAGAGCUGAGCUCAUUCAUGGCCAUGACAUAAAGCUGUGUGAUCAGAAGCAAAUUCCCCUCCCCACUAAAGGCUGCCCUACUUUCUCUUUCUGGAUUUUAUCAGCCAAUAACUUGCCUCCAGUCUGAACCACCAGUGAAUGGAGCUGGUGGGCAAUGCACUGGGCUCCAAUUGAACACCAGACAGCUCAUUAGCAUUGAUUGGAUGUGAAGGGCCAUUGAAGCAGAAUCGCACACAUCCCCCACUACCCUGGCCCAGAGCUUUGUUUCUGGUGGAGGUCUGAUGCCUGACAAUGACAAGAGCCUUGGUUUUUAAAUGAGCAGAGGAGCAUAAAAGGGUGGAGUUCUCUUUCCCUGUUGACUCUCAAAGCUGUAUCAGGGCUAGGGAGGAGGAUUGUUCCUGUGGCUUUUCCUUCCAUAGAAAAAAGGAUGGAAAAUUCUUCCCAGAAACAUCAGGUGCAGUUAUUGCCAAGUGGAAAAGAGGUGGCAAUGUUCGUGCUUGAGGUCUCAUGGGUGGCAGGGUGGCAAAAACCUUGUCAGGUGGUCACUUCAGUCAGGGAAGCAGCAGGGAGGUAGGUGGGUUUGGGUUAGUUGAGGGUGGGAAGCGAGGUGUGUGUACGAGGCCUCAGUCUCUGUUCCUCAGCUGCAGUCACAAAGCCAACACACUGGAUGAUCCAAAGUCUGACCUCUGGAUGUGAGCCCCUCUGGGUGAGUAGUAGGCUUUACUGAAUUUGGAAGGCAGGGGAAUGCUCUUAUUUUUGCCUAGUCGACAAAAGGUACACUGAGGCUACAUGAUUUGCCCAAAGCCACAUGGGACAUCUGUGGCAGAGACAGGGACAGACCCUGGUAUCCCUAACCCUGACACAGAAUUGUGUUGGCAUUCCCAUCAAAUUUUUGCUGUGUCAGAUGCCUGCCUCUGUGUCACGCAGGCCAGAGUCUCAAGCCUGUUUCUCACAUGGCUUCUCUGCCCCACUGAAGCCCUGAACAAGAAAAAAGUUAAUGAGAGGAGGGAAGAAUGGUUAGUGCUGUUGUUUCCCAGUGCUGAGGCCACCAGGGGCGGGGGAGCUAGCUGGGCCAUGCCAAUGACCCCAGCUCGUUUAUCUUAGAGCUGGCACCAACACCGCAUACCUCUCCAUUAAUAAAUGCUGUCACAAAGGGCUACGCUAUCUGGUUGUUAAGCAAACCUGGCACUUGCCUGCUACUGAAAUUCCUUGCCUUUGCCCUGCAGGGCUGCCUCCCUUCACUGUACAUCUGAGCCCCGCAGCCAGGAGGGGUAAGUUAUUCAAAGGGAUGUUUGCUAUGUGGGUUCCUGGAGCCGGGCCAGGACACUGAAGUUUCUAGGCCUCAUCCUGCAGCUGUGGGAAGCUGGGCAGAGGAUAGUCGAGGCUUCCUCCCCUUCUCCUCCAGUGGCCUUGAGGCUUUGGGUCCUAAGCAGUCUCCUCUCUGUGAACGGCUGUAUUGUGGUCACUCCAGCCCGUGGAGGGGAGCUGAUCAGCAUAAAGUCUUUGAGGGUCUGUCAUAGCCCCUUGCUCAGCAAAACAGCACAAGCCAGGGCACAGCGUCCCCACUAGGACAACCUGUGUUCAGCCAAGCUGCCCCUGCAGGCACAGGGACUGGGGAGAUCUGUAGGAGACCCGAGGGAAGGGAUUUUUCAGUUCUGAAGCUCCAAACCCACUCAAGUCUUUUCCGCUGCUCUGAUUCUGCCUGCCUUGCCUGGCUUGGGGGUUGUGGGGAGGUUUUGUACCUGACCAGGGGGAGGAUGUUUCCCUUGCAGGUAUCAGAUCCCAUGGUCUCUCAGGAUGAAGAAGCAGAAAGCUCCCCCUUCGUUGAGUUCAGGAGUAUGUGCUUAAGGCAGCAGUGGGGCACCACUGUCAUGCUCAGAGCCCUCACAGUGGGUUUAUACUACAGCAUUGCUCUUGGCACCCCCUUCGCCAUGCAGAUCUGCCCUUUGACUUCAAUCUCCUCCGGCAAAGCCAAGCCCAGAAAACCAGCUUGAGCCUCAUUGCUCAGAGCUGCUGAGCCACUAUUUCAGGUGGCUGCUCUCACUCUGGAGAGGGCUUUCUCCCUCUGCUGUGGCAGAGGCAGGCACACAGAUCCUUGAACCCAGCCGAAGCCACAUGUUUUGUAAAUUGCUGUCACAGUCCCGUGGGAGCUGCAUGCUGGGUAAUCCCUUCAGCCUCAUUCACGAGCUGAAACUGGCAUCUGGCCAUUGGCAAGGAUGCCUGAAACUGUGGCUGGGCAAUCCAAAGGGCAUUAUCUGCUAGCACAGCAGCUGGAACUGGGCAGAGAGCAGGAUCCCCCUGUGCUGGGAGACAGAGACGGUCAUGCCUGGCUUCCAGCUGUCAGCCAGGUCAGCUCAGCCAGGGAGACACAAACCCUGCCCUGUAAUGAAUCCCCUUGAAAGAUGAACCCAGAUGAGUUUCUAAAGUAUCCUGCUGCAGUGAUGGUGGCAAGCAGACCUGUUAUCUCCAGUUCUCCAGGGCCAUGGGCAGAGCAGCCUUGUGAAGCAGGGAAGUCUUUGACUGGCUCCCUUCUGCUGUGGAGGUGGCCAAGCCCAGAGACCCAAGCAACCAGGAGCUGAGAUGCAGGGAAGUAUUGCGUUCUGGGAAAAGAUCUGCUUCUCUUUCAAAAGGGUUCUUUAGACCUAACCAAUCCCUAACACCGGCCACAGAGAAAACAGUCUCUGAAUGUCUUGGUGGAGCAGUGUUUUGAGGGUUGUAGGCUCAGGUGUUCUCUGGUGGACAUGAACAGAGCUCUGGCUCUGCUGCCUUGAUUACAACCACGAAUGGUUGGAACCUCUGUGCCUGUAGCAUCAAGGCAACUGUAAGCAAUCGACAGAGUUAAUGGCAUGCGGUGUCUCACUAGGUGGGCAUGGACAUGAAGGUGGGCAUGGACAUGAAACCUCAGAAGCUGCCAUAUGGGGGUGCUUGAUGAUGGAUUGUGAAGCAUUUCCCUGAGGCUGCUGGAGAGUGACCAGUAGUCAUUCUCGCUGGUUCCUAGUAGACAUCACCUCACCUCUGUUUCAAAAGGACCAUGAUAGCUGGCAGCUUCAAAGGGAAGCCAAGGAGCAAAUGAGCCAGAAGACUGAAAGCAUUCCCCCAGAGACACAAGUGUAAGCUGGUGUCCUACAGACUGUCCUUUGUCCUAGCCAUGGAGAGCAAAGACUCUGGGGAAACUUUGAGGUCUUUAAAUCCCUUAUUGAGGGGAUCUGGGACAGAAAGUAAAAGCCACCUUGCCCCCUGGGGACGGGGAAUAGGGCAGUGAGAAGUUUCCACAGAAGGCCUGAUGACUGGUAAGACAGAGGCAGCAUUAACUCCCUACUUUGAGUGCUUAACCCAGAGAUCACAGAGAUGUCAAGGGAUCUGUCCUCCUGACUGACCUUCUCUAUAUUAGUUAGUCACUGGUAUCUGAGAGAGGAGCCUCAGGGUGAAAGAGCCUGAGGAUGCUCCGGGUUGCUGCUGCCACUGCCUGGUGCUUUCAAGGAGAAAAUGGAGAGUGGGUUCAUUCUGAAUGAGUCAUGCAUGGGUUUUGCUCGUGGCAACUGUGUGUGAAUGAGGUGUAUGCCACAGGGCUGGUUAGGACAGGUGAGAGCAUUUGGCUGGAUGAGGAGCUGGCAUGUGAAGAAUGUGCCUGGUACAGAAAGGAAAGCAAGCAAAGGAGGCUUUGAAUGGGGAAAGAUCGUGCAGGGGGAGUAGCUGCAGUUCCUGGGAUAUUAGCUCACUUAGAUUUGAGAUUCUGUCUUCUUUCACUUUCAGCAAAAACACUGCUAAGACCCAUCUGCCUCCCCCUGAAAUGGAUUUAAGUUCAUUAGAGCAGCAGACUGGACAGUAGAGGUGGCUGCGUUUUGUUCCUGACAUUGACACUUGCCAUGUGACCUCAGGUUCUCAUAAAUUUACCCAUCAUAGGGUUGUGCUCUGAAUACCUUUGUCAUAUUUAAUCACAGAGGUGAUUAAAUAUCAUAUGGAUAUAAUAAUGAUGCUGAAUUUCAGCCGUUUUUGGAUUUUAAACUUCACUGCAGAACUACAAGGAAGUUUUUUUACCUCCCUGCCUCCCAUCUGACAUCUUCAGGGAAGGAAUUCUACCUGAUCACUUCAUCAAAGAGCUACUCAACACAGCUCACAAAGACACUCUCGUGGACCCAGAGGGACAGACUUCCAUCUUCAGCUCUCUCCGUGCAAAAAUGAAGUUUAUUUCCUACCUAUGGGGACUUUUUACCAUCUUGUACCAUCUACACUUUUCCCAGAGCCUGACGAAGGGACUUUGAUCCCAAAAGCUUGCAGAAAAGGACAGUUUUCUUGCCAUUUUCCAGUUGGUCUAAUAAAAGGAGUGUAGGUUGUUAAGACCCUAUUCUUAAAAAGAUCUUCCCAGAGCCACCCAUCCUAGCCUUCAAACAAGCACCGAGCCUCGCUAACCUCAUCACCAGAAGCAAAAUUCCUCAAGCCCAGAACACACCAAAAAGAUCCAGACCGUGCCAGGACAAGAAAUGCAAAACCUGCCAACACAUCUCCACCACCCCCACUAUUACUACACCCCACAACAGAGCCAUCGGCAUCCCUGGAUCUUACAGCUGCACCUCCAGGAAUGUAGUAUACCUCAUCCAAUGGACCAAACGCCCUGAUGGAAGAUAUGUAAGAGAGACCAGACAACAACUGCGCACCUGAAUGAACGCACACCGGAAAUCUAUCAAAGACAGAAACACCCAAUUACCGGUGGGGGCACAUUUCUCACAAGAAAACCACUCUCUCUCCAAUCUCUCAGUCUUGAUCCUCAAAGGAAACCUAUGCAACACUUCCCAGAGACGCGCCUAUGAACUCCACUUCAUCAACCUCCUGGAUACUAAAAAUCAUGGACUAAAUAUAGACAUUGGAUUUAUGACACGUUAUAACCUGCCUGACAUCUGACUCCCCAGGCAUCUCUUCACUUUCAUCCCCCUUCUCUCCCCCCUCCCCGCUGUCUCACCCAUUGACUCCUCAGUCUACAUUUUCCCUGACUACCUGUCUUGUAUGCAGCCCAGCCCAGCCCCUGGCUUCUUUACUUGUCAUUUCAUCCAGGAAGAGCACACACCAACUGCUGAAACUUCCUUAGCCUGACGAAGGGUUUUUGAACCCAAAAGCUUGCUUAAUAAUUGUUUUCCAACUAUUUGGGUUAGUCUAAUAAAAGAUACUAGAUUCACCCAAGGAACCUUGUCUCCUUUCCAAUAUGUAAUUGGAAUGGUGGUUAGCUUUUGGAUAAAGGGCCUGCUUUUUUCCAUAGCCUGUGGAUCCAUGACUCUAAGCUGACUGAGAAGUUACCCCAUAAAAUGCAUUUGAAAGCAAAGAGUAAGGAUUUAAAUAAAUCCGUCUACCCAUCA
Alligator mississippiensis (American alligator) is the source of this 9091-nucleotide long non-coding RNA. RefSeq lists it as uncharacterized. NCBI's taxonomy places the organism in Eukaryota, Metazoa, Chordata, Crocodylia, Alligatoridae. The transcript has 5 exons. The record is from RefSeq and is a predicted model, not a curated record.